Molecule: signal recognition particle RNA, 331 nt
Filed under: Vombatus ursinus (common wombat)
Lineage: Eukaryota; Metazoa; Chordata; Mammalia; Diprotodontia; Vombatidae
Description: Metazoan signal recognition particle RNA (ENSVURG00010019505.1)
Rfam family: Metazoan signal recognition particle RNA
About the family: The signal recognition particle (SRP) is a universally conserved ribonucleoprotein. It is involved in the co-translational targeting of proteins to membranes.
Source: Rfam by way of RNAcentral
CCUGGUAGUUCACAUCUGUAAUACCAGCUACCAGGAAGGUUGUGACUGGUGGAUCUCUUGAACUCUGGAGUUCUGAGGUGCAGAGGACUAUGCUAAUCAAGUGUCCACAAUAAGUUCAACAUUAAUAUGAUGAUCCUCUGGGAGUGGGGUUCACAUCCUUGGGAGGGGGUCACUAGGUUGCCUAAGAAGGGGUGAAUUGAUCAAGGUUGGAAACAGUGCAGGUCAAAACUCCUGUACUAAUCAGUAAUGGUACUGUACUAAUCAGUAAAGGGUACUGGGCCCCUAAGUAAUUUUUUUACUUCCAACCUUGCUGAUAGGGAGAUUGUUUCUU